RNAcentral lists this transfer RNA (77 nucleotides) under Geobacter sp. Its description in RNAcentral is "tRNA-Arg". It matches the Rfam family "tRNA". Rfam says of the family: Transfer RNA (tRNA) molecules are approximately 80 nucleotides in length. Their secondary structure includes four short double-helical elements and three loops (D, anti-codon, and T loops). The record is from RNAcentral. Lineage: Bacteria; Pseudomonadati; Thermodesulfobacteriota; Desulfuromonadia; Geobacterales; Geobacteraceae.
GGGCGGUUAGCUCAGCUGGAUAGAGUACAGGCCUCCGAAGCCUGGGGUCGUGAGUUCGAAUCUCAUGCCGCCCGCCA